GCAAGAUACCACGGGCGCACGGCGGAUGCCUUGGCACAGGGAGCCGAUGAAGGACGCGGCAAGCUGCGAUAAUCCCCGGCGAGGAGCACACAUCCUUCGACCCGGGGGUCUCCGAAUGGGCGAACCCAUCCACAGCAGUGUGGAUAUCCCCACCCCGAACACAUAGGGGUGGGGAGGACAACCCGGGGAACUGAAACAUCUAAGUACCCGGAGGAGAGGAAAUCAAUCUCGAGACUCCCCGAGUAGCGGCGAGCGAAAGGGGACCGAUGGCCAAACCGUCGAGCGGGCAUACCCGGCAGGGGUUCCGCCGACGGGGUUGCAGGGCCGCGCAUCCGGGGGCUGCCGCCCCCGGGCGCAGGUCCGGCUGGGGAGCGGAACGGCAUGGGAGGGCCGGCCGCAGCGGGUGACAGCCCCGUACGCGAACCCAGACCGGACGGCGCGACGCGGUCCCUGAGUAGGGCCGGGCACGUGAAACCCGGUCCGAACCUGGGUGGACCACCAUCCAAGCCUGAGUACUACCCUGUGACCGAUAGCGCACCAGUACCGUGAGGGAAAGGUGAAAAGCACCCCGGGAGGGGAGUGAAACAGUACCUGAAACCGUGCGCCCACGAGCAGUCGGAGCACCUAUACGGUGUGACGGCGUGCCUUUUGUAGAAUGAGCCAGCGAGUCGCUGGCGCGGGGCGAGGUUAACCGAAAGGGAGCCGGAGCGAAAGCGAGCCUUAACAGGGCGACUUGAGUCCCGCGCCGCGGACGCGAAGCCGGGUGAGCUAUCCGUGGGCAGGCUGAAGCGGGGGUAAGACCCCGUGGAGGGCCGAACGCACGUCGGUUGAAAACGGCGGCGAUGACCUGCGGAUAGGGGUGAAAGGCCAAUCAAACCCGGAGAUAUCUCGUUCUCCCCGAAAUAGCUUUAGGGCUAGCGUCGCGCGUUCACCGCCGGAGGUAGAGCACCGGAUGGACGAGGGGGCUUCGCCGCCUACCGAAUCCAACCGAACUCCGAAUGCCGGCGGCCCAGAGCGCGGCAGUCAGAGCAUGUGGGCUAAGCUGUGUGCUCGAGAGGGAAACAGCCCGGACCGCCCGCUAAGGUCCCCAAGUUCCAGCCGAGUGGCAAAGGAUGUGCGUCCGCCCAGACAACCAGGAUGUUGGCUUAGAAGCAGCCAUCCAUUCAAAGAGUGCGUAACAGCUCACUGGUCGAGUGGACAUGCGCCGACAAUACACGGGGCUAAGCUGGACACCGAAGCGGCGGGAUUUUACCUAAGUAGAAUCGGUAGGGGAGCUUCCCAUGGGCGGCGAAGCCGCCGGGCGACCGGCGGUGGAGCGCAUGGGAGUGAGAAUGCUGGCAUGAGUAGCGAGAGACGAGAGAGUAACUCGUCCGCCGUGAACCCGAGGUUUCCUGGGCAAGGCUAAUCCUCCCAGGGUCAGUCGGGGGCUAAGGCGAGGCCGGGAGGCGUAGCCGACGCGCAGCAGGCAGACAUUCCUGCACCGCGCACGCGGCGCUACGACCGACGGGGCGACGGAUGGGGGUGGCUCGGCGGGGUUCUGGACGUCCCCGUGAUGGAGCGCGGCCCGCGGACCAGGGAAAUCCGGUCCGCACGAGGGCGAGGCUCCGGACGAAGCGAUCAAGCGAAGCGAGUGAGCCCGAGGUCCCUAGAAAAACCCCUAGGCAGGCGCGUGCGCGCCCGUACCGCAAACCGACACAGGUGGGUGGGUAGAACAUACCGAGGCGAUCGGGUCAACCAUGGUCAAGGAACUCGGCACAAUGGCCCCGUAACUUCGGGAGAAGGGGUGCCCGCGCGUACGUGAACCGGCUUGCCCGGGGAGCGGAGGCGGGCCGCAGUGGAGAGGCCCAAGCGACUGUUUACCAAAAACACAGGACUCUGCAGAAGCCGCAAGGCGACGUAUAGGGUCUGACGCCUGCCCGGUGCCGGAAGGUCACGCGGAGGAGUUAGCCGCAAGGCGAAGCCCCGAAGCCAAGCCCCGGUAAACGGCGGCCGUAACUAUAACGGUCCUAAGGUAGCGAAAUUCCUUGUCGGGUAAGUUCCGACCUGCACGAAAGGCGCAACGACUUGGGCGCUGUCUCGACCAUGGACCCGGUGAAAUUGCACUGGUCGUGAAGAUGCGACUUACCCGCGGAAGGACGGAAAGACCCCGUGAACCUUCACUGCAGCUUGGCAUUGGCCGCUGGUCCCGCGUGUAGAGGAUAGGCAGGAGGCACAGAUCCGGAGGCGCCAGCCCCCGGGGAGCCGCCCUUGGAAUACUGCCCUCGCGCGACCGGCGUCCUAACCCGAGGCCGUCAACCGGCUCGGGGACCGUGCCAGGCGGGCAGUUUGACUGGGGCGGUCGCCUCCUAAAGGGUAACGGAGGCGCGCGAAGGUCCGCUCGGGACGGUCGGCAACCGUCCUUUUGAAUGCAAGAGUACAAGCGGGCUUGACUGCGAGGCCCACAAGCCGAGCAGGUGCGAAAGCAGGCUCUAGUGAUCCGGCGGCCCCGAGUGGGUGGGCCGUCGCUCAACGGAUAAAAGGUACUCCGGGGAUAACAGGCUGAUCUUGCCCAAGAGUCCACAUCGACGGCAAGGUUUGGCACCUCGAUGUCGGCUCAUCGCAUCCUGGGGCUGGAGCAGGUCCCAAGGGUACGGCUGUUCGCCGUUUAAAGCGGUACGCGAGCUGGGUUCAGAACGUCGUGAGACAGUUCGGUCCCUAUCCUCCGUGGGCGCAGGAGAAUCGAUGGAGGCUGCCCCCAGUACGAGAGGACCGGGGUGGACGCACCUCCGGUGAACCGGUUGUCGACCAACGGCACGGCCGGGUAGCCGCGUGCGGCGCGGAUAACCGCUGAAGGCAUCUAAGCGGGAAGCCGUUCCAGGGAUUAGUUCUCCUUCCGGUAAGGGCCCAGGUAGACUACCUGGUCGAUAGACGGCAGGUGCAAGGCUGGCGACAGCCUCAGCCGAGCCGCACUAAUCGCCCGAGCUCUUCCGGAA
This 2972-nucleotide ribosomal RNA is filed under the name human gut metagenome. RNAcentral describes it as "bacterial LSU rRNA". It matches the Rfam family "Bacterial large subunit ribosomal RNA". The record is from RNAcentral.